Molecule: ribosomal RNA, 502 nt
Filed under: uncultured bacterium
Lineage: Bacteria
Description: bacterial SSU rRNA
Rfam family: Bacterial small subunit ribosomal RNA
Source: RNAcentral
UGAACGCUGGCGGCGUGCUUAACACAUGCAAGUCGAACGAGAACUCUUUAGCUUGCUAAAGAUAGUAAAGUGGCGUACGGGUGAGUAACGCGUGGGUAAUCUACCUCCGAAUUGGGGAUAACAUUGCGAAAGCGAUGCUAAUACCGAAUAAUAUCUUUUAAGCUUCUGCUUUUUAGAUCAAAGAUGGUCUCUACAUGUAAGCUAUCGUUUGGAGAUGAGCCCGCGUACCAUUAGCUUGUUGGUAGGGUAACGGCCUACCAAGGCCGCGAUGGUUAGCUGGUCUGAGAGGAUGAUCAGCCACACUGGAACUGACACACGGUCCAGACUCCUACGGGAGGCAGCAGUGAGGAAUUUUGCGCAAUGGGGGAAACCCUGACGCAGCAACGCCGCGUGAGUGAUGAAGGCUUUCGGGUCGUAAAGCUCUGUCAAGUGGGAAGAACCUACAGGAUACCAAUAAUGUCCUGUACUGACGGUACCACUGAAGGAAGCACCGGCUAACUCC